Molecule: long non-coding RNA, 1550 nt
Filed under: Homo sapiens (human)
Lineage: Eukaryota; Metazoa; Chordata; Mammalia; Primates; Hominidae
Description: HSALNT0315608
Source: RNAcentral
GGCUGGAUGUGCUGGGCCUGACCAGCCGCCCGCUUUCCUCUUCUCUUGCCUCUGCCUGCCCCCUGGUGGACAGCUGGGGUAAAGCAUGGGAGUGCGCCUUUGGGGUCUCAGUGGGGCUGAAAUACGACUCCUCCCCUAGGACAGCCUGCCUUCCCCAGCCUUGUUCUCCGGCAAAGUCAAUUUCCUGGAGAAUCGAGGCUCUGCCUCAGAUGUUCGGAGCCUCCGCAGGAUGAACACCUCCAUUUCAAUUCCAGGGGCUUUGAUCAACCUGUGCCUCCCUUGAUCCCCAACUUGUGGGCACCUUCCCUUGAGCAGUGCCCCCACGAGGUACACCUUUCCCGGGAAACAAAAAUCAUUCCUUCUUUGGGUCCUGCAAGCUGUAAAGAACCAAUACAGCACUGUGCUACUGAACAUGUUGCCACUAUAGAAGCCCCUUGUGUUUUGAAGAGUACAUCUCUAUAGCCAUUCGUUUAUUCAUCAGAAACCAGCUAGAAGCCAGGCCCUGUGCUGGGCGCUGGAGACAUGGAAGAAACUGGGCUGAGGCUCCCGCCUUGAAGAGCUUGUGGCCCAGGGAAGGGACAGUUCAUCUGUCAUUGAUUGCCACGUGACAGUGUCUAUGAUGCUAAAAAGAUGCCAGUGCUGUGCUGCAGGAGCAAAGGCCGUGGAGGAAGAGGCUUUGGCUUUGUUGCGAGUCCUUGCCAGAGCCAGGCAAAGCCAGUCACCGCUUUGUUCAGAUGACUCAGUGUCUCCUUUUCCAGACUUCUUAGAGGACUUGGAAAGAAAAUGAAAUGACGUUGAACGAAAUCAAAGUAAAUUGAGUGAUCUGAAACGAUUUGAUGUCAGCAAGAAUUCCCCAUACAGCUCACAGCCCUACCCCGAGCACGCCUCCCUCUUGGGUAUGGUGAGUUCAGCUCCAAAUUUAUUCUGACAAGAAAGCACAGGCAAUGGCUUCAGUGGGUCUAAAUCAGGUGAAAAUUCAAAGCAAUCACCCUUCCUGGACAAUCUUCUGCUUUCUCAGUGCUUAUCAUGGUCUGAAAAUUCCUAUUUAAAGAAGCAGAGCUUUCUUUUAAGUCCUAACAGAACAAAGUCACACUCAACAGUGCACAGGCACACGCCGGGAUCGAGAAUGCAUUUUUGGCAAAAAGUCUCCUCUUUUCUCUGUCUCCUCCAGCUCUCUGCAGGCCCAAACCUUGCAGAAGCCAUUCCAUGUUUCCUGAGCAGGAAAAGACAAACUCAGACCGACAACCUUGGACUUCAAAAGACUGCACACAAGGGGAGGAAGGACUGAGAGUACCAAGGCGUGAGAAUUCAGAAUGCUGCUAUCUCAUUUAUUUUUACCAUUUAGGAAACGUUUUGAUCUGCAUUCCUUUUCCCUUCCCUGAUUUCAAAAAAUAAAAAUAAAAAUGCUUCGGUUCUGAGGAGUAACUCUCCAGAUGGAAGGGGAAGAUCAGGGGAUGAAUGGGGGAGGGCUGCUUGCGUCCUCUCCCCUGCCACACACACGCUCUCUGUUUCAGCCAGUGUAAAAAUAGCCGCCCAGGUUUAUGUAUUCA